UACGUAGGGUGCAAGCGUUAUCCGGAAUUAUUGGGCGUAAAGAGCUCGUAGGCGGUUUGUCGCGUCUGCUGUGAAAACUGGAGGCUCAACCUCCAGCCUGCAGUGGGUACGGGCAGACUAGAGUGCGGUAGGGGGAGAUUGGAAUUCCUGGUGUAGCGGUGGAAUGCGCAGAUAUCAGGAGGAACACCAAUGGCGAAGGCAGAUCUCUGGGCCGUAACUGACGCUGAGGAGCGAAAGCAUGGGGAGCGAACAGG
RNAcentral lists this ribosomal RNA (254 nucleotides) under uncultured bacterium. RNAcentral's name for it is "partial 16S ribosomal RNA". It matches the Rfam family "Bacterial small subunit ribosomal RNA", at positions 524 to 776 of the family's 1533-position model. The record is from RNAcentral.